GUCCCUGUAGUGCAAUGGAUUGCACGUUGAACUUCUAAUCCAAAGGUCAUGGGUUCAAUUACCACCUGGGAUG
This is a non-coding RNA of Trichonephila clavipes, 73 nucleotides long. The record is from the annotation of a GenBank genome assembly. NCBI's taxonomy places the organism in Eukaryota, Metazoa, Arthropoda, Arachnida, Araneae, Nephilidae.